Molecule: long non-coding RNA, 657 nt
Filed under: Gallus gallus (chicken)
Lineage: Eukaryota; Metazoa; Chordata; Aves; Galliformes; Phasianidae
Source: RNAcentral
CCUGGACAGACCAUGGAGUCUCCUGCACCAGGGGUUUUCAAAACUUAAGAGGCUGUUGGUCUAAUUUUGAAGUUAGCCCCAUGCUUCAAAGAGGACUGGACUAGAUGGCCUCCAAAUGACCUUUCAACCUAAAUUUUUCUGUGAUUCUGUGAUUCUAAGUGUAUAUGCAACUAGUAGUGUAAUCAGUUGAAAGAACACCAAUCACAUUUAUUCUACUUGGCUUCAGGCUGUUCCACCUGUCAGGUCUCAGACAUCAUUACUGUGCUUCUUCAGCCAAAAACUUCAUAUACUGUUUCCGAGCAGGAAAAUCAUCCGCUGGCCUGUUGUAUGCUGUCCAGACUGGUUCUCCAACAAAUAGCCUCAUUGCUUUCACGUAGUUAUUCUCAUCCAGUGUAAAUCGGUGAUAUAUGCCAGCAGGGAGGGUUAUCAUGUCUCCUUUCUCCAUGGAAAUCCGGAUCCAUUUGUCAUCCUUGUCCCGAACAUCAAAAUAGCCAGAUCCAUCUAAGAUGUAACGAAUUUCAUCAUCUAGGUGUAAAUGCUCUUCAUAAAAUGUUUUUAUCUUUUCUUCAUAAUUUGGCAGCUUGUCUUUAUGUAUAGUUACUAUAUCCAUCCAAGAAUAAUUUUCUGCUUCCCGAAUCUCUUUCAGACGUGGGUCAG